This 2913-nucleotide unclassified non-coding RNA is filed under the name Anneissia japonica. Its description in RNAcentral is "octopamine receptor-like, transcript variant X1". Lineage: Eukaryota; Metazoa; Echinodermata; Crinoidea; Comatulida; Comatulidae. The record is from RNAcentral.
CUACAUUCGGAGUGAAUAAGUGACCAAUAGACACGUUUUGUCGUGGUCAAUUUCCUUGUCAGUGUGGUAAAUUUCAUUGUCAGAUGUAUGGUUCAUCCUUGAUUAUACCAUAGUAUAUAUUAUUUACUUGUAUCUUCCAUGAUGCGCGGAAACAUGUCAAAAAUCAAGAACAAUCAACUGAUGAUACAUCAGCCGCAAUAACAAACAAAAAAACUACCGAAAAGUUGCAUCGAAAAAUCAUAUGACAAGACAUAUUCAGCAAAUGCCAUCGUUACUAUGCUCAGCAUAGAGAUAUAAAAUAGACUUCGUUGCAAUUUCAAUAUAAUAAUUAUUAGUGAAAUGAAGUUUGAAGAAAACGCGUCAACACCUACUAAUUUCGCGUUAACACACGGUGCGCCUCUUACUGGUGCUGGAUUAAUUUUCACCAAUAUUUUUGUAGGUAUACUGUCAGUUCUAACCAUAGGAGGAAAUGCUUUAACAAUUACUGUAUUCGCAAGGAAUUCACCUCUUCGCAACAACCCACAGAGCAACCGGCAUAUCAUGAGCCUAGCAGUGGCUGAUCUGGGCGUUGGACUAAUCCCACUACCACUAAUGAUUAUCAUUAACACUUUAGAUAUUUGGCCGUUCGGACUUGUUCUCUGCAUGCUUAAGUCGAUAGUAGAGGGAGUUUUUCUAAUCGUUACCAUAUUUACCAUUGCAUUCAUUAGUCUCGAUCGUUACUUGCUCGUCCAUAGAGAAUACCCAGAUUAUCUGAAAUGUCAGACAAAACGACGCGUGCAUCUGCAGAUCCUGUUUACCUGGGCGUGUGCAGUUGUCGUAAUGACAACAAAUGAGAUUCUGUUUUUUUACCAAGUUGGUCUGGACUCGACGGUCGACUUAUUUUGUAACUUCCACACCAAUCCGAAUACUUUUUCCACUCUAUUGCUUCUAUUAUUUUUACUUUUCAUUCCAAUGUCAGCAAUUGCAUAUUUUAACGCUAGUACAUUUUUUAACAUUCGAAAGCGUAUACUCAAGAGACGGAGAAUAGCUGUCGCUCAGACAACAUCUAUCGCAAGAAUCCCUAGUUUAUCUGCAAAUCACGAUGAAACAGAAACAAGCAUGAACCUAACAGAUAGGGCGAACCAUGGAAAUUAUCAGGAAGGUGCGAAUUGCUCCAACUUUUUUGGCGAAACUAACCAAGAAAACCCUCAAGGACCUCAUAACACGUCAGAAAAUGCUCGCAAAGAUCAAACUGCAAAUCCAACAGAUGAAAAUUACAAAUUAGCCUGGCAAAGUGACCAAAAAUCUCAAAAUGUUGAAAACAAACACGUACCAAUUAAACAUUCCGACACAAAACCUCAAUUUAACAAUACCCCAAAAAAGCGAAAGUCAAACGAUGACAAUUUCAAGCGAAGGUAUGUUCGUCCUGCUGUAAUGAUGGGUGUAAUAUUAUCGACGUUUUUGAUUUGCUGGGCUCCUCUUGGUUUAACUGGUGUUAUUAAGAAUUUUAAGACGGUUUUCGAAGACGACAGACAUUGGAAAUGGAUACACCUUUGCAUGUAUAUGGACUCGGUGUUUAACCCCAUACUCUAUGCCAUUACCAAUAAAAAGGUCCGGAUAGCUAUGAUAAAAUGCUUACGAAGGAAAUGAAUGAAAGAGAAACAGUUUUAAGCAGUAUUUUAAAGGAUAACAUUCCGUCCUAAUCAUGACGAAGUGACUGAAAUACCGAACAAUAUGGAACAACUUUAUGAUUGUUAUUGUUGGAGUCGCUGUGGUUUAUUUUAAGAGCACAAUACAGAGUUAUAGCAUAUUUCCAAUGUUUACAUUGCAAAGUAACAAUCGGUAAUUGUUUGUGUUAAACCAUGUAGGUGGUUUUGGAAAAACAUUGUUGAGACACUUUCAACAACAACAGCUCUUUUCAUAACGGCCAACAAGGUGUACCGUAAACAUUUAGUGUGAUGGUAAUUUUGUAUUUAUGGCUGUAAACUGUAUUGAUGUUGGGAAGGCUGCUGCUACUACUACUACUACUUAAACCAGCCAGUCAUUUUAAAGAUGCAAUCUGUUAUAGCGCAUAAACGGAGUCGAGUCUCAAUGCGCUGUUAGAUAAAAAGUUUUAAAAAAAAAUUAAAAAAAAGAUGUGUUUUUAGACGGUAGUUGAACAUGUUGCGAGAAGGGGAAUUGCGAACUUCAAGAGGCAGGGAAUUCCAUAGUAAUGUCGCAGCAACAGAAAAUGCGUCAACGUAAGAUUUCAAUCGACUAGAUGAAGAUGGUUCAUACUCUAGGGAGGGGAGACGGGGAACAACUUAACGUCAGCAUUUUAUUUGUCACCGAAAUUAUCACUUAGUUAGAAGUGGCUGCUUAUCAGUAGGCCGAGAAGGUAUACCGGUAGUGUUUCCAAAUUCAGAUUUCCAUCAUCCUUGUUCAUAAGUUUCAUAUUAGGCCUGUCUUAUCCAUGAUUUGAUCAUCAUUAUCAGUAGUAUAAAUAUAAUCUUUGUCAUUUCAAUUAAUUGCUCACACGUUUGUGCACCAGGAAAUAUAAUAAGGUGCUUUGGUAUAGGCCUAUAUAUUUAUUUAUUUAGCAGUGUUAUAUUACGGAUAAAGUACGUGAGCAGUGAUUUGAAGCUACAUAAAUAUUAGAUUAAUGGUCAUAGUGGUAGUGGCAAAAUUGUUAUGGUGGUGGUGGUAUAAUAUAUUAAUAGGCUACAUGGCAGCCUUAGAAUAUUAUAUAGAUCUAGGCUUACUAAAAAUUAUGCAAAGUAUAUUCUUGCCAAAAUUUAUUGCUAGACCAUGCUCAGAUCAGUUAGUUUAAAAUAUUAGCCUGCUCGAAAGAGUAUAUAAUUGUAUAUAUCCGAUCAGUAUAGAUAGCUUCCUUCGUGGACAUAAAAUCGAUUUAGAAUAUAUGAAGAAGACACUAUGAAGACAAUUACUCGGGGU